Molecule: long non-coding RNA, 443 nt
Organism: Carlito syrichta (Philippine tarsier)
Lineage: Eukaryota; Metazoa; Chordata; Mammalia; Primates; Tarsiidae
Exons: 3
Source: RefSeq, a predicted model, not a curated record
UAUCUUCGCUUCAGCUUCUGUCGCCUUGUCACCUGCAGUUUCUGGGAGGUCAUGUGGUGGGCUCCGGGACAUCUGGAAUCCGGGAGAUGCAAUUUUCAAGAAAUCUGUUUUAGUUCGGAGAAACCAUUCUCCGAAUGUGUGCAUUUAUCGACACAUCCCUGUUCUUGAGAGGAAAAGGUAGAAAUGAUUUCUGUCCUCUGGAUGAUCUUGCAAUUGUGAAGGAAGAAAAACUAUCCCAAAGGACAAGGAGCUGUGGACCAUUCAAGAAUGUGGUCAUAGAAUUCUCUCCAGAGGAAUAUUCAGCAGAUAUUUUACUGGAACUUGAUGUUAGAGAACCACAGAAACCUGCUAUUUUAGGUAAGCAUGGUCUUUAAACACAAUCCCUAUUUCAUACUAAGAAUUUCAAACCUUUCUUUGUAGAAUGAUUCCUCGGAAUUUCUGCU